Molecule: ribosomal RNA, 460 nt
Filed under: uncultured bacterium
Lineage: Bacteria
Description: partial 16S ribosomal RNA
Rfam family: Bacterial small subunit ribosomal RNA
Source: RNAcentral
CCUACGGGAGGCAGCAGUGAGGGAUAUUGGUCAAUGGACGAGAGUCUGAACCAGCCAAGUAGCGUGAAGGAUGACUGCCCUAUGGGUUGUAAACUUCUUUUAUAGGGGAAUAAAAUGUGACACGUGUGGGGUUUUGUAUGUACCCUAUGUAUGAGGAUCGGCUAACUCCGUGCCAGCAGCCGCGGUAAUACGGAGGAUCCGCGCGUUAUCCGGAGUUAUUGGGUGUAAAGGGAGCGUAGGUGGAUUGUGAAGUCAGUGGUGAAAGGGUGCGGCUCAACCGUAGAAUUGCAGUGGAAACUGGCAGGCUUGAGUGCAGGAGAGGUGGGCGGAAUUCGUGGUGUAGCGGUGAAAUGCGUAGAUAUCACGAAGAACUCCGAUGGCGAAGGCAGUCCACUGGACUGCAACUGACACUGAGGCUCGAAAGUGUGGGUAUCAAACAGGAUUAGAUACCCGAGUAGUC